RNAcentral lists this ribosomal RNA (370 nucleotides) under uncultured organism. RNAcentral describes it as "bacterial SSU rRNA". It matches the Rfam family "Bacterial small subunit ribosomal RNA", at positions 526 to 896 of the family's 1533-position model. The record is from RNAcentral.
CGAGAGGCCCAAACGUUAUUCGGAAUUACUGGGCUUAAAGAGUUCGUAGGCGGCGCAGAAAGUAGGGUGUGAAAGCCCUCGGCUCAACCGAGGAAUUGCGCUCUAAACUACUGUGCUUGAGGAAUCUAGAGGUGAGCGGAACUGAUGGUGGAGCGGUGAAAUGCGUUGAUAUCAUCAGGAACACCGGAGGCGAAGGCGGCUCACUGGGGAUUUUCUGACGCUGAGGAACGAAAGCCAGGGGAGCGAACGGGAUUAGAUACCCCGGUAGUCCUGGCCGUAAACGAUGAGCACUAGGCCGGAGGGCUGCACAGCCUUUCGGCCGUAGCUAAAGUGUUAAGUGUUCCGCCUGGGGAGUAUGGUCGCAAGGCUG